This 253-nucleotide ribosomal RNA is filed under the name uncultured bacterium. RNAcentral's name for it is "partial 16S ribosomal RNA". It matches the Rfam family "Bacterial small subunit ribosomal RNA", at positions 524 to 776 of the family's 1533-position model. The record is from RNAcentral.
UACGGAGGGUGCAAGCGUUAUCCGGAUUCACUGGGUUUAAAGGGAGCGUAGGCGGUCUUAUAAGUCAGUGGUGAAAUCUCGAUGCUUAACAUCGAACGUGCCAUUGAUACUGUAGGACUUGAGUACAGUUGCCGUUGGCGGAAUGUGUCAUGUAGCGGUGAAAUGCAUAGAUAUGACACAGAACACCGAUUGCGAAGGCAGCUGACGAAACUGUAACUGACGCUGAGGCUCGAAAGCGUGGGGAUCAAACAGG